AAAAGCGUAGGCGAGCAGCUGGCAGCCACCAUCGCAUUUGCUCCCGGAAGGCAAGAGGAGGCAGAGAAAAUUCCAGAACCCAUUUAAGCGUCUGGGACCCUGAGGGUGUCACAGGGUGUCCAGGGAACCUGAUCGGCAGAUCACACGGGCGGUUUCCUGCCAGGUCACUGCUUACCAGUCCCUACUCUCCAGCCUGAGAAGCCAGCCGGGAUGACCAGACAUCUGAGAGAUUCCUCUGAUGUGGAAGAGAGAGACAAAACAAACAGAAAAAGGACAACUGGAAGGAAACAGAGACUGUUCUGCGAGAAGACAGCUUGGAAAAAACUGUCAUUAAUAUAUUCAAGAAGGAAAGAUAAAAUUUUGUAUUUAUGAAAAAAGAACUAGGUGCCAUAAAGAAAGAACAUUUGGAGAAUAUAAAGAGCACUUGGAAAUUAAAAAUAGGAUCAUGGAAAUUGAAAACUCAGUAGAAGAGUUGGAAGAUAAGAUUGAGGAAAUUUUAUAGAAAUUAGAGCAAAAAGUUGAAAAUAAAGCCCUUGCAGUGGUGCAUGCCUGUCGUCCAAGCUACUCAGGAGACCAGGGUGGGAGGAUCACUUGAGUCCAGAAGUUCGAGACCAGCCUGUGCAACAUAGCAAGAUCCUGUCUCAAAAAAAAAAAAAAAAAAAAAAAAGUUGAAAAAGAAAAAAGUUGAAAAUGAGAGAAAAAAAGGAAUUGAAGGACCAGUCUGGGA
RNAcentral lists this long non-coding RNA (727 nucleotides) under Homo sapiens (human). Its description in RNAcentral is "non-protein coding lnc-SH3BP2-1:1". The record is from RNAcentral. Lineage: Eukaryota; Metazoa; Chordata; Mammalia; Primates; Hominidae.